Molecule: long non-coding RNA, 1907 nt
Organism: Episyrphus balteatus (marmalade hoverfly)
Lineage: Eukaryota; Metazoa; Arthropoda; Insecta; Diptera; Syrphidae
Exons: 5
Source: RefSeq, a predicted model, not a curated record
UAAACUAAACAAACACCAAAAGAAAAUAAUAUUUCUUCUUUGUUUUAUGCGGUGAUGAAAAUGACGCUCGAUUUCGUGGUUUACAAGGUGUUAUUACCCCUUAAAUCUAACUGGACAAACAUCACCCGAUUCACAUCUCUCAAUAUAAACCUAAUAUACACUCUUGGCACGUUCAGAAAAAGGGAAAUUACCCUGUUGCAACCAUCCACCAAUAGAUGGCUAUUGUAAGGUUAAGGGUGUGAUUAUAUUGGCUUAUUGGAGGUUUAAGUUUGGUUUGUACGUAAAACAGCAAGACUAACCCGUGACAUGAACAUAGACAAAAAGUAUGUAUUGAAUAAUUAAAAGAACUAAUUUGAGCAGCCGUCGGACCCGUUUCUGAGCCGAAAUCGGACUCAGCUCCGUCCGAGUCGGAGCGGAUUCGGACCGAGGUCGGACUUGUUUGCUUGAAGGGAAGGCACAAAUCGGCCCAUUCAACUCGACCCUCAUGUAACCAUAUAAAGUACGAAGUCUGAACAAUGGUUGGUCGGUGUCAGUCCAUAGACUAUAAUUUAUGUCACAUCAAUUUGGAAAUUCAACAUGGUAGGUUUUAAGUUGUUAUGCUUCCAGCUGGAUUUUUCAUCGAUGGAUAUCGUCACAAGUGGGUCUAGCGGCAGUUCAACAGGCGUCCGCAACAAAACGAACUACAAACUUCAUCAAUUAAAAUAUAAAAAUCAAAGUAUUUAAACGUAAAGUGUAAAUGUUAAUUACAACAUACUUGUGGCGUUUUUAAUUGGCAAUCUGGAAUAAAAAAAAAACAAUCUGAAUGCGUUCAAUUGGGCAACACUGACAGUUCUGAUUCUGAAAAAAAAGAGAAUUUCUCUUCUGGUCUUAAAAACAGAAUCAGAAGCAUAUCAAAUCAUAGAUUUAAAUGUCAGAUGUCAAACUUGACCAAAAAAACAAAAACAAAUGAAAUUUGGUGCGAAUACACAUAUAUAUGACACAUUUCAAACUCAACCAAUACAUUUACACCAAACUUCAGAUUCUUCGGAAUAAAAAAAAAACUGUUCAAUUGGGAUUCCGAAUCGAAGAACAAUUCCGGAUUGCCAAUUAAAAACGCCAUUAAGGUUUUGACAGCCCAGCCCAUUGAAAUUGUUGUUGUAAACAAAUUUGUCUUGGAAAUUGUUGUUGCUUUUGACUUUGUUAAAUGCCAAACGUCAAAACCUUAUAACCCCAUUUUGUAAGAUGGCGGCUCUAAUGAUCAUACCUUGUCUUUUUAUACCAUGGGUUUUAAUAGUCCGAUGAACUACAUUGUGUAGUAGCAAACAUUAGGUUCUCUUGUUCACAAGCUCCAGCAAAGACGUUUUAUAUUUUUUCCUGGUACGCUGUUCGCGCUAAAUUUUAGCCGAGAUAAAAUUCCCAUACAAGUUAUCGAUAAUUUGUAUGGGAUCCAUUUUAGCUCAGAUAAAAUUUUUCGAUAAUUUGUUUUGGAGCUAAAAUUUAGCGCGAGCAGCGUACCAGGCUUUUGCAGAUGAACUAAUGGCGUUUUUAAUUGGCAAUCCGGAAUUGUUCUUCGAUUCGGAAUCCCAAUUGAACAGUUUUUUUUUUAUUCCGAAGAAUCUGAAGUUUGGUGCGAAUGUAUUGAUUGAGUUUAAAAUGUGCAACAUAUAUGUGUAUUCGCGCCACAUUUCUUUUGUUUUUGGUCAAGUGUGACAUCUCAAAUUUAAAUCUAUGAAUGUGUUAUUGAUUCUGCCUCUGAUUCUGUUUUUAAAACCAGAAGAGAAAUUCUCUUUUUUUCAGAAUCAGAACUGUCAGUUUUGCCCAAUUGAACGCUUUCAGAUUGCUUUUUUUUGCUUCCAGAUUGCCAAUUAAAAACGCCAUAACUAAAUUUUAAUCUGAAAACGACAGAGGUUAAAUAAAUUUUUUUUUCA